UACGUAGGGUGCAAGCGUUAAUCGGAAUUACUGGGCGUAAAGCGUGCGCAGGCGGUGAUGUAAGACAGGUGUGAAAUCCCCGGGCUCAACCUGGGAACUGCAUUUGUGACUGCAUGGCUAGAGUACGGUAGAGGGGGAUGGAAUUCCGCGUGUAGCAGUGAAAUGCGUAGAUAUGCAGAGGAACACCGAUGGCGAAGGCAAUCCCCUGGACCUGUACUGACGCUCAUGCACGAAAGCGUGGGGAGCAAACAGG
This 253-nucleotide ribosomal RNA is filed under the name uncultured bacterium. Its description in RNAcentral is "partial 16S ribosomal RNA". It matches the Rfam family "Bacterial small subunit ribosomal RNA", at positions 524 to 776 of the family's 1533-position model. The record is from RNAcentral.